This 2076-nucleotide unclassified non-coding RNA is filed under the name Hevea brasiliensis (rubber tree). Lineage: Eukaryota; Viridiplantae; Streptophyta; Magnoliopsida; Malpighiales; Euphorbiaceae. The record is from RNAcentral.
AUCAAUCCCAUUGAAGCCCAAAGAAUAAUAAUAAUAUCUUUGAGAAGGGGAGACAAAGGCACUAAAAAUUGCUAUAAAAAUAAAAGUAACAAUAAUAAUAGAGACAAAAAUGGAUGCAUUUGGCCAUCCCAGGGAAAUUUGCCAUUACAAAGUGGAGUUUGUCACCGCAAAUGAUGGUGAAAUAUUUCUCUGCAAACACUUCAUUGUAGCAGCUAGAUUCUUAAAAUUGCAUGCUAUAUGAAACAAAACUGAAUAAACAGAAUUUUUUUUUUGUCCUUUUUUGGGUGUAGAGGGAUAUCCAACUGCAUCCUGAAUUCAUUCACUUCGGUUGCUAGAAUUGUAGGUUGUAUGAAGUUGUACUUUUAUAGGUAUUGAGUUUGUAUUCUUUCUCUGUUCUCUUCCCACCACAGCUUUGCAUGCACUUCCCCAAACUUUUCCCGGCUGUUAAAAAGAAAAGAAAAUGAAAUGCAGGAGCUCGUUAGCAUUCAUAAUGUGGAACAGUUUCCUUUAAUCUAGUUUUGAAGUUAAAAAUUUCAAAAUCAUAUUUUAAUACUUGUUUAUGACUUACUAAAGCUUAAAAUUAUGCAUCUUUCUUCUGUUAAACUAUGAACAAAUUGGUUUUCUUUUACCUGAAUCUGACACGUCGAAGCUCCCUAGUCCCAUCAGCUAGUUGUCUGAUAGUAAUGUACACCCCAGGCUCAUCUUCUUCAACCCAUUCUGACUCUAGUUCACUAGCAUUACUAACAGAAACAGAAGGCUCAUCUCUUGAUGAUGUGGUCGUACGUGAUGCUUCCAUAGAAGAUCCUUCAAAUUUUGGGCCGCCUGUACCAUAACCACUUGAACCAGCAUGGUAAUGUUGGGUGCCAACUUGUUCCAUAACAUCAGAUGGGAAAUACCCUCUACUUCCGGAUGGUUUAUAGUGACUUCUGGGUGUAAAAGAUGGAGCCAUGGGGCUUUCCCUUGCAGAUCCAAUCCUUGUGUAAGAAGAAUCUCUCUGCUCAUCCUCGGACCUUGGAGGAGUAUGAAGAGCUUGACGAUUAAAUCUCUGAACAUUGUAGAGCUCCAUGAUUCUGUCAAAGUUCUCACCCCACCAUCGCUGAGCUUGCCACUUGUUAAACAUCUCUCGACUGAAGCGAAUACGCUUUAGAUCAUUUCCCCCAUUAGGAAGAGACACAAAAGUAAUAUGAACUCCUGGCUCCACCUGUGCCAUCCACUCCUUGGGUUCAUCCUCAUCUUCUAGCACCACAUCACAAGACUGUGCUGAGAUAGACUCUGCUCUCCCAGGGGUCUGAUCACCACUAAACACUCCAGUAAAUCUUGAGUCAGCUCUUGUGCCUCGAUGGUGACCAGCACUCGUAAAAUCCCAUGCUGGUGUUGAGCUUGAGCUUCCACCUCCGAAAUAGGGGUAUGGAGCCCCUUCAGAAGCCAUAUCAAAGUCAGGAUACGGUCGCUGUCCUUUCUUGAAACUGCUGGAGCCUGUGCAGGGCUUGCAUUGCCGACCAGAAAAUUUCAAUGCCAUAUCCUUGAUCUGCGCCGUCAGGCUUUUGACGGCUUCUUUUGUACUUGGCGUUCCACUUCCACGCGCUCCGUCUUCUCCGUCUUCUGCCACUGGUUUUGUGCACGCUAUGCACGUAAACAUCUUUUGCUUUUUUCACUUUUCUACCCCGUAUGCAACAACGCCCAAAAAAACACCUCCUGUGUUCUCUUGCAGUUCCUGUUUCCCUUGUUUACCUACUCUUCAUAAAAUCUCUUCUGAUAUUCUUUCUCUUUCUCUGUUUUCCUUCAGCUUCUAAGAAUCAGCUUGAUUAUUCUUUCCUUUCUUACUGAUUGAAGCACCACAAAUAAAAAUUUACUCUAAAUCUUCAUCUAAUCAAAUUUCUCUUCAAAUGCCACACAAAAAUCAUGAUCAGCAGAAUCCCAUUAACUUCGCCAAUUACUAUCUAGAACAGGGGAAGAAGAACAGAAAAGAAAAGAUAAGAAAAGAAAUCUCGGCCGAGACAAAAGGCGGGCGAUGAAUCGGCGAAAUGUUUGAAAACGGAAUGUUUCGGAUUUGGAGGUCCCAGGCUUGACGUUUGC